GACGAACCGUCCUAACGUUGUUCGGAAUCACUGGGCUUAAAGGGCGCGUAGGCGGGCAGCCAAGUCCGGGGUGAAAUCUUUCGGCUUAACCGGAAAAUAGCCUUGGAUACUGGCUGUCUCGAGGGAGGUAGGGGCCGUUGGAACUUCCGGUGGAGCGGUGAAAUGCGUUGAUAUCGGAAGGAACGCCGGUGGCGAAAGCGAACGGCUGGACCUUUUCUGACGCUGAGGCGCGAAAGCCAGGGGAGCAAACGGG
RNAcentral lists this ribosomal RNA (253 nucleotides) under uncultured bacterium. RNAcentral describes it as "partial 16S ribosomal RNA". It matches the Rfam family "Bacterial small subunit ribosomal RNA", at positions 524 to 776 of the family's 1533-position model. The record is from RNAcentral.